GGCAACCCAGUAAGAGAGAAAGGGUCCUGAGAAGAGGCAAGAGAGUCAGAAACACCUGCGUUCCCACUGUAAGGAGUCCCACAAAACCACGAAGCUACACAACGAGAACUUAUAUGCAGAUGACCUAACACAGUCUCACGAUUAUAGCUUCAAUUUCUGCAAGCACAUAUGAUCCUUGCUUAGCUGAUACUGUGAGCUGUGUCCUCAAGGACUUAAGGACCAAUCUGACUCCUGAAAUCCUUCUUCCCACUUUCCCUUUGAGUCUUCUGAGCUCCACCUAAGCAUUAAGAGGGGCUGGAUGCCUAUAACAGAAGCAGAGGGCAUGUCCAGAGUCAAUGGAAGCAGGAAAAUGGAAGCUUGGUAAUUCUCUUCACCGAAACAAGUCUGUAAUAGCAAGCAAAACUGAAAUCCAUUAUGGUGGUGAGAAAGCUCAGCAUGAAGAGGCAUUUGCUGCCAAGUCUGACCACCAGUGAUUGAAGCCUGGAACUGGAAGGUGGGAGGAGACACCUGACUCCUGCAGGUUGUCCUCUGACCUCUACAGGUAUACUGUGGCAUGCAUGGACCUACAUGGAUGCUGCCAAGAAUGUUAGCACCAUCUUCUAGGCUCCACCCAGUGGUUACCUAGCAACAUCCAGACCAGGUUAGGCUGCUUUACUCGUGAAGAGGAGAGUAACAGCUGAAGAUUCUUAUUGCCAAGAUACCAAGGAGGAAAGUUCUUCUCACCUGAAGUUUCUGGCUUGCUGUUUCUGAGGAGAUCUGAAGUCAGCCACACAACCAGGAGAAGCAGAACAAGCUUGUAACAGACCCUUUCUACACUCCUAUUGCAGUCACAAGAAGGAAAUUAACUGGGCUGCUAACAAGCAGAGAACAAUGAUCAAAAAGUUGUGAGGGACUCCAUGCUUACCCUGAAUCAGCCCUUCUGAAAAAAACAGAUAAUAUAUCUGUUACAAAGAUAAACAAAACCUAAUAAGAGGAGAUGGAAUGGAAGGAGAUGCUGGUUUUUGUUUUUCUGAUAAACCUUUAGAAAAAGUCCAGUUGGGUGUGUCUAGUGUUUUUUAAAUAAAGCAAUUUUAUAAA
RNAcentral lists this long non-coding RNA (1077 nucleotides) under Mus musculus (house mouse). RNAcentral's name for it is "predicted gene, 50330". The record is from RNAcentral. Lineage: Eukaryota; Metazoa; Chordata; Mammalia; Rodentia; Muridae.